UGCGAAGGGUGCAAGCGUUACUCGGAAUUACUGGGCGUAAAGCGUGCGUAGGUGGUUUGUUAAGUCUGUUGUGAAAGCCCCGGGCUCAACCUGGGAAUGGCAAUGGAUACUGGCAAGCUAGAGUGCGGUAGAGGGUAGUGGAAUUCCCGGUGUAGCGGUGAAAUGCGUAGAGAUCGGGAGGAACACCAGUGGCGAAGGCGGCUACCUGGACCAGCACUGACACUGAGGCACGAAAGCGUGGGGAGCAAACAGG
This 253-nucleotide ribosomal RNA is filed under the name uncultured bacterium. Its description in RNAcentral is "partial 16S ribosomal RNA". It matches the Rfam family "Bacterial small subunit ribosomal RNA", at positions 524 to 776 of the family's 1533-position model. The record is from RNAcentral.